This 484-nucleotide ribosomal RNA is filed under the name uncultured bacterium. RNAcentral's name for it is "partial 16S ribosomal RNA". It matches the Rfam family "Bacterial small subunit ribosomal RNA", at positions 30 to 507 of the family's 1533-position model. The record is from RNAcentral.
AUUGAACGCUCGCGGGAUGCUUUACACAUGCAAGUCGAACGGCAGCGCGGACUUUGGUCUGGCGGCGCGUGGCGAACGGGUGAGUAAUGUAUCGGAACGUGCCCAGUAGCGGGGGAUAACUCCGCGCAAGCGUCGCUAAUAUCGCACACGCCCUCCGGGGGAAAGAGGGGGAUCGUAAGACCUUGCACUCUUGGAGCGGCCGAUAUCGGAUUAGCUAGUUGGUGAGGUAACGGCUCACCAAGGCGACGAUCCGUAGCUGGUUUGAGAGGACGACCAGCCACACUGGGACUGAGACACGGCCCAGACUCCUACGGGAGGCAGCAGUGGGGAAUUUUGGACAAUGGGGGCAACCCUGAUCCAGCCAUCCCGCGUGUGUGAUGAAGGCCUUCGGGUUGUAAAGCACUUUUGGCAGGAAAGAAACGUCGCGGGCUAAUACCCCGGGGAACUGACGGUACCUGAAGAAUAAGCACCGGCUAACUACGUG